RNAcentral lists this ribosomal RNA (427 nucleotides) under uncultured bacterium. RNAcentral's name for it is "partial 16S ribosomal RNA". It matches the Rfam family "Bacterial small subunit ribosomal RNA", at positions 355 to 774 of the family's 1533-position model. The record is from RNAcentral.
UGGGGAAUAUUGGACAAUGGGCGAAAGCCUGAUCCAGCCAAGCCGCGUGUGUGAAGAAGGUCUUCGGAUUGUAAAGCACUUUAAGUUGGGAGGAAGGGCAUUAACCUAAUACGUUAGUGUUUUGACGUUACCGACAGAAUAAGCACCGGCUAACUCUGUGCCAGCAGCCGCGGUAAUACAGAGGGUGCAAGCGUUAAUCGGAAUUACUGGGCGUAAAGCGCGCGUAGGUGGUUUGUUAAGUUGGAUGUGAAAUCCCCGGGCUCAACCUGGGAACUGCAUUCAAAACUGACUGACUAGAGUAUGGUAGAGGGUGGUGGAAUUUCCUGUGUAGCGGUGAAAUGCGUAGAUAUAGGAAGGAACACCAGUGGCGAAGGCGACCACCUGGACUAAUACUGACACUGAGGUGCGAAAGCGUGGGGAGCAAACA